GCCUCCUUGGCUCAGUUGGCUAGAGCGCAGGUCUCAUAAUCCUGAGGUCGCAAGUUCGAGCCUUGCAGGGGGCA
Molecule: transfer RNA, 74 nt
Filed under: Cylindrobasidium torrendii FP15055 ss-10
Lineage: Eukaryota; Fungi; Basidiomycota; Agaricomycetes; Agaricales; Physalacriaceae
Description: tRNA-Met (CAT) (tRNA-Met-CAT-1 1 to 3, tRNA-Met-CAT-3-1, tRNA-Met-CAT-3-2)
Rfam family: tRNA
About the family: Transfer RNA (tRNA) molecules are approximately 80 nucleotides in length. Their secondary structure includes four short double-helical elements and three loops (D, anti-codon, and T loops).
Source: RNAcentral